CUACGAUAUCCUUCUUCUCCUCCGUGACUCCAUCCACCUCUCCAGUCACGAUGAACUUUGCCAUUCGUACCCACGGUUCGCGGAUGGCCACCUGGAUCGUUGAAAGUGGAAGGAGUCAAAAGAAUCAAUCUCAGGCAGCCUUCUUCACCGCCACGGUGAUGGUGGUGGUGUUGGUGUUGUUGUUGGUAGUUAUCAUCAUAGCCGCGCGGCCGGCGUGUGUUGUUGCUCCGCCCACCACCUCAUCCCAUGCCUGUCGCCGUCCUGCCGUCCGCCGGGAACGGGGAUGGCAUUUGUGGCAAGGUGGUCGGGCGCUCGCCACUGUCGCUGCUGCUGGCAGUUCCGGGGGCCGAAUUCGACCGGCGCUACGCGGACGCCACAGGGUCCACGCCCACAUGCCCGUCAUGCUGGGCGAGGUGCUCGACGUCUUCCGCCGCUUCCACCUCUGCUCCGUCGUCGACUGCACCCUUGGCGCUGCAUGCCGCUUCUUUUCAUCAUCGUAGCCGGCUAUCUCAUCAUCGUAGCCGUGCUGUUCAAUAUAUUUCCCAACGGACUAUAGAGGCGCAUAGAGAACUGGAGCUCCAUGUCGGUUUGGAUGUGCAUCCUGUCGCCCAUGACUAGGCUUGAGCUCGGAUCGAAGACAAAUGAUGAUUCUCCCGGCGGCAGCUUGAAAGCAUACACCCACGUCCGGAAUUUCAACUACAAGAAGUCCGUGCUCGGGGGCAUCAAUGAGAACCGGCCUGGACGGUGUAGUAGAAGGAGAUGCAAUCCAUGCAGGUAUUUUAUUUUUUAUUUUUAUUUUUUUUGAUACAACAGCGCGUCACAAAAACACAAUGUAUGUGGGUGCAGCCUAUAAGGUCUGAAAGGAUAAGGAGGUGAAUGAUGGAACUAAAGUGGGGUUAUCUCAAAUAAAACUUUCGAAAUGCUAAGCGUCACUUAGUCAGUCACACUGUUUGCACUGUUUGCCUCUGCAGGCAUGAGUAGCCUAAUGAGAAAUACGCUCAUUUAAAAAUAGUCAGAUGCCAUGAAUCACCCACAUCCCGCCGGCUGCAGGUAUAAUCCUUCCUCGUCACAAAAAAGCACGUACAGCCCGUUGGCGUGGGGGGUUGGUAUUGGGGUUUUUAGGAGUCGUUCUACUUGUAUCGUAUUGCUAGGACCAGGAGGGCAUGGUUGAUUUUUCGCUUCUCUCCUGUUUGAGAGAUUGCCGCCGUAAAUCAAAUGCCGCGCGUCCCCUGUAUGGAGCAGGUGAACCAUUCCGACAGGGGAGGGAGGGUGCUUGGCGUGGGCCUCUGGAUAUUGGAUGAACCCUCUGCCCUUGGAGAAGCAUUGACCGAUGAAGCUGUGGAUAUGUUUUUGGGAUCCAGUCAAUAAGAUUAAGCUCUCUCUUCUUUGCUACUUGCGCGAGUGGGUUUUGCAUGGCUUGUGCCACCAUUUAAAUCCGUGGCCUUGGAUAUUGCUGUAAUACUUUUCUGUGCUUAUAACAUGCUAAUUUCAUUAGAUGGCUAAAUAGUGUUUGCCUUCUUCUUUUUCAUUGAAUUGAUGUACUACUGAUUGUAUAGUCAUCUUAUCUGUAAUCGGAUUGAUUUUUCCAUUAGUCUCGAAUGAAGAUAACCUCCCAGUUCUCAUCUAAGCUUUUGUGAUAUAGAAAGAUUUUGUAAUGUUUGACCGAUUGGAGCAGGAUAUUAUGCCGGGCGACCUUGAAAGCUUAGGGCAUCUUGAAUUCUUGGCCUGAUUAAGUGGGACGGAUAUUGCGUGAUUGUGGAGAAGAAAGCAACUGGCCUUUACUUCGAAAACAAAUUGCGGAUGCUCGCGCAAAUGGGUGAUUGCAUUCUCCAGGUCAUCUAGAAGAUUUCGUGAGAAGUACAUCAGCCAGGUCAGGAGGAUUCGGACCGAGGUCGGAGCGCUACUUGGAUGAUUCUGGGUCAGCUGGAGUCGAGCUGAGCAGGCUGGUUGAGGCAUCGGGUGCCAGUCUUCUUCGUUGGUGGCCUGUAAGAAGUUCUCUUGUUGGAAAGUUUAUUUGGUGAAAAAAAGGUAGCAUCGAAAUAGUAUUUCAUCACUAAAACUGUUAAGUAAGAGAUAUUUUACAACAUGCAUUUUAUUUCACUCUCUUAAGGCAAUUACUAGUGACAAAUUGUACUUCAUAGAAAAAUGUUUUAAUGCUGAUUGAGUGCUUUGCUGUAGUGCCUAGACCCUAAACCCCAAAUCCUCAACUCUAAACCAUUAACAGUAAACCAUAUAUCCUAAACCUUAAAUCCCAAAUCCUAAAAUCCUAAAACCAUAAAUC
Non-coding RNA from Phoenix dactylifera (date palm), 2281 nucleotides. The record is from RefSeq and is a predicted model, not a curated record. NCBI's taxonomy places the organism in Eukaryota, Viridiplantae, Streptophyta, Magnoliopsida, Arecales, Arecaceae.